This 537-nucleotide long non-coding RNA is filed under the name Homo sapiens (human). RNAcentral describes it as "non-protein coding MAGI2-AS3:42". The record is from RNAcentral. Lineage: Eukaryota; Metazoa; Chordata; Mammalia; Primates; Hominidae.
UGGCUAAGGCAGGAGAAUCGCUUGAACCCAGGAGGCAGAGGUUGCAGUGAGCCGAGAUCACACCACUGCACUCCAGCCUGUAAUGUCUUACAAUAACAGAAUGCAGGAGAGCACAUAUCAAUGAAGAAAAGACAAAAUGUACUUAUCCAUGAAGCUGAGGUUAAGAAACCAGUGUCUUCAAGAGCCAGGGACAGCACUGGGUCUGUGCAGAGUUGAGAGAUGGUGAUGACAUGUGGUUUCCAGCAUUCCUCACCCAGUCCAGGGACACUGUGGGUGUGCCCAGCUUAAGUCCAGUAACUGGAAAUACAAGCCCAAGUUCUGGAGAGUUUGAGCUGCAGAGAUAUAUAUGGGAACACUUUGAAUCUUGACUCAUUGGCCAUAACCAGCAGAGUGGAAAAUACAAGAAGAGAAAAAAACAUUGAACUGCGAUUUUAUAACAUCCUUUACUAGGCAGAGAGAAGAGGAAACACCAGGAAAGAAAACUGUAUUACGAUGUGAAAACUUAAUGUUGAGAAAUUCAGGCAUCUUGGGGUUAGU